Molecule: transfer RNA, 69 nt
Filed under: Ictidomys tridecemlineatus (thirteen-lined ground squirrel)
Lineage: Eukaryota; Metazoa; Chordata; Mammalia; Rodentia; Sciuridae
Description: Spermophilus tridecemlineatus (thirteen-lined ground squirrel) tRNA
Rfam family: tRNA
About the family: Transfer RNA (tRNA) molecules are approximately 80 nucleotides in length.
Source: Rfam by way of RNAcentral
UGGAGUGUAGCUCAGUAGAGUGCUUGCCUAGCAUGCAUGAGGCCCUGGGUUCAAGUCCCAGCAUCACAC